This 69-nucleotide transfer RNA is filed under the name Buergeria buergeri (Buerger's frog). RNAcentral describes it as "tRNA-Gly". Lineage: Eukaryota; Metazoa; Chordata; Amphibia; Anura; Rhacophoridae. The record is from RNAcentral.
AUUUUCUUAGUACAACCAGUACAGAUGACUUCCAAUUAUCAAGUCUUGGCUAAAACCCAGGAGAAAAUA